Fukomys damarensis (Damara mole-rat) is the source of this 189-nucleotide small nuclear RNA. Its record names the gene U2. It matches the Rfam family "U2 spliceosomal RNA". Rfam says of the family: U2 is a small nuclear RNA (snRNA) component of the spliceosome (involved in pre-mRNA splicing). Complementary binding between U2 snRNA (in an area lying towards the 5' end but 3' to hairpin I) and the branchpoint sequence (BPS) of the intron results the bulging out of an unpaired adenosine, on the BPS, which initiates a nucleophilic attack at the intronic 5' splice site, thus starting the first of two transesterification reactions that mediate splicing. NCBI's taxonomy places the organism in Eukaryota, Metazoa, Chordata, Mammalia, Rodentia, Bathyergidae. The record is from Ensembl.
GUAACUUCCUAUCCUUUUGGCUAGAAGUUAAGGGUAGUAUUUGUUCUUAGCUUAAUGUCUAAUAUAUUUUCUAUUUGAGAGCUAUAUAUUAAGUGAAUUUCUGAGGUUGGAAGGUGUAGUAAGAUCUUUUUCUGUCCACUCCACAUGUCUACUGGGUAUUGCAGUAUCUCUAUGAAUAGUGUGUCUACU